Molecule: unclassified non-coding RNA, 308 nt
Filed under: Hevea brasiliensis (rubber tree)
Lineage: Eukaryota; Viridiplantae; Streptophyta; Magnoliopsida; Malpighiales; Euphorbiaceae
Source: RNAcentral
AAGGUGAUAAUAGAAAAUUUUCCUGAGGGACACACAACAGAUUAUAAUUAAUCAUCUGUGCUCACAGCCAUCCAAAAUGCAACAUCUUUUUUUUAUUAAAAUUGAAUUUGUAAAAUUUGUUACAAGUUCAGCGUAUUUAUAGCAGGUUGCUUACAGUGAUCUAAGCAAAUCCAAACAAAGAUAAUCAAACAAUGUUUAGUGAACUGUGUACUUUAGAAGGAAGAUGACCGAUUAGAAAGUCAAAGAUUAUGAAAGAUAAUGCGCUUAAUUUGAAGAGAAACUAACCAUUAUACUGUUGAUCCCGGAAU